GUUCGCAUAAUGAUGUGAAGCAACUUCCUUCGCACGUUCCAAACCUUUUACAUGACGUUGGCACUUGAUUGGUUCGUCCAAUAGGUUUGGUCUUAAUAAUAAUAACUUCAAUCGGUCUUUUGCAAAGAAUAUCGGGCGCAACACCAUUGGUUAAGAAAAGAAAAUAAGGUAACUUUUGUUGCAAGAUUUGAAGUCUUUUACUCAUUUCUUAGUUUGAGGUAUUCUCUGUUUGAUUCAUUAUGCUUUCUUUAAAGCAUAGAUCAAUCAUACUGCUGGUUAUUUUGCUCAUACCUUUUUGAUAUUCUAAAUAUUUUAUAAUUGCGCAUAGAGGCCAUCUGGCUCUCAAGAACAAAGCUGGAAGCAUCGAUCAGCAAAGUAGCAAAGUAAUGACCUUUUCCGAAACCAAAACCAUCAAAUACAGUGGGAGGCCUUCUCCUACAUUACACCUACAGUCUGGCUCCAUGUUAUUUUGGUCCUUUUUCGAGCACAUAGUUCAUGUGCGCCACUGUGUCUCCGUCUCCAUGUUUCAGUCUCUGUCCCUCUUAACAGAAUCCACAGGAGAGUAAUAUAUAUGUACCAGAGUUACAGAAAGGAGAGUAGUACUAGCACUACUGAGCGGUUAAGAGAUGAAGCAAUACCUGAACUUGGUAGAAGGUAUAGCGAUGGUGUCGGGUUUGAUGGUGUUGGUGGGUCUGAUAUGUUGCUGCCUCAGCACCAACCCCAGCCAACGCGGCAGUUUACGCGCCGGAAAUGCCAGCUGCAGCUGCGAUGGUGGCUAUGCCGGUGUUUGAUCAUUAUGGAAGUUCUUAUUUGAUACACUGUUAGCCCCCAGCUUGCUUUCUUCUUACUCUUCUCUUAAUUUAAACAUGAUAUAUAUAGAGCUUCUCGUUGCUUGAUACUCAAGCAUAUCUUGUAAUCAGUUGAUACUCGACACUGUAAUGUUUAGCCUCAUGGAGGUAUGGCCUUAUUUGAUCUUAUGUGACAGGAUGGUUAAUUUUGGAGUACGUAUAUAUAAUUAUUGAUGCCACUAUGUAGAAAUACGUAGAGUAUUACAUUUACACCCUACUCGAUCUUCUGCAUUCCCAGUUUUUGUGAUUGGUGCUUAGGUUAUGGCUCUUACCCUUCCCGGUUUACAUAAUCUUUCUCUCAAAUCAUCUUUCCGACUCCAACAUCAUAUAUUUAGGAAAAUUUCAGCGUUCCAUUUUUGAGCUUCAACUGAUUUGUUUGCCGGAAUUGCCUCUCAAAUAGUCCAUCUUCCUAUCUAGUGCU
Molecule: long non-coding RNA, 1269 nt
Filed under: Fragaria vesca (wild strawberry)
Lineage: Eukaryota; Viridiplantae; Streptophyta; Magnoliopsida; Rosales; Rosaceae
Description: long non-coding RNA (FVES_LNC002864)
Source: RNAcentral